This 449-nucleotide ribosomal RNA is filed under the name uncultured bacterium. RNAcentral's name for it is "bacterial SSU rRNA". It matches the Rfam family "Bacterial small subunit ribosomal RNA", at positions 329 to 795 of the family's 1533-position model. The record is from RNAcentral.
UGCCAGACUCCUACGGGAGGCAGCAGUGGGGAAUAUUGCACAAUGGGGGAAACCCUGAUGCAGCGACGCCGCGUGAAGGACGAAGUAUUUCGGUACGUAAACUUCUAUCAGCAGGGAAGAAAAUGACGGUACCUGACCAAGAAGCCCCGGCUAACUACGUGCCAGCAGCCGCGGUAAUACGUAGGGGGCAAGCGUUAUCCGGAUUUACUGGGUGUAAAGGGAGCGUAGACGGCCAUGCAAGUCUGAUGUGAAAACCCGGGGCUCAACCCCGGGACUGCUUUGGAAACUGUAUAACUGGAGUGCAGGAGAGGUAAGUGGAAUUCCUAGUGUAGCGGUGAAAUGCGUAGAUAUUAGGAGGAACACCAGUGGCGAAGGCGGCUUACUGGACUGUAACUGACGUUGAGGCUCGAAAGCGUGGGGAGCAAACAGGAUUAGAUACCCCGGUAGCU